This 492-nucleotide ribosomal RNA is filed under the name uncultured bacterium. Its description in RNAcentral is "partial 16S ribosomal RNA". It matches the Rfam family "Bacterial small subunit ribosomal RNA", at positions 29 to 507 of the family's 1533-position model. The record is from RNAcentral.
AUUGAACGCUGGCGGCAUGCUUUACACAUGCAAGUCGAACGGUAACAGGCCUUCGGGUGCUGACGAGUGGCGAACGGGUGAGUAAUGCAUCGGAACGUACCCAGAGGUGGGGGAUAACGCAGCGAAAGCUGUGCUAAUACCGCAUGUGAUCUGAGGAUGAAAGCGGGGGACCGAGCAGCAAUGUUUGGCCUCACGCCUUUGGAGCGGCCGAUGUCGGAUUAGCUAGUUGGUGGGGUAAAGGCCUACCAAGGCGACGAUCCGUAGCUGGUCUGAGAGGACGACCAGCCACACUGGGACUGAGACACGGCCCAGACUCCUACGGGAGGCAGCAGUGGGGAAUUUUGGACAAUGGGCGCAAGCCUGAUCCAGCAAUGCCGCGUGCGGGAAGAAGGCCUUCGGGUUGUAAACCGCUUUUGGCAGGAACGAAACGGUGUCCGCUAAUACCGGGCGCUAAUGACGGUACCUGCAGAAUAAGCACCGGCUAACUACGUG